AUUGAACGCUGGCGGCAUGCUUUACACAUGCAAGUCGAACGGGCUUGGGGGCUUGCUCCCAAGUUAGUGGCGAACGGGUGAGUAAUACAUCGGAACGUACCGUGUAGUGGGGGAUAACUUAGCGAAAGUUAGGCUAAUACCGCAUACGAUCUACGGAUGAAAGUGGGGGACCUUCGGGCCUCACGCUAUACGAGCGGCCGAUGUCUGAUUAGCUAGUUGGUGAGGUAAAGGCUCACCAAGGCGACGAUCAGUAGCGGGUCUGAGAGGAUGAUCCGCCACACUGGGACUGAGACACGGCCCAGACUCCUACGGGAGGCAGCAGUGGGGAAUUUUGGACAAUGGGCGAAAGCCUGAUCCAGCCAUGCCGCGUGUCUGAAGAAGGCC
This 384-nucleotide ribosomal RNA is filed under the name uncultured bacterium. RNAcentral's name for it is "bacterial SSU rRNA". It matches the Rfam family "Bacterial small subunit ribosomal RNA", at positions 30 to 416 of the family's 1533-position model. The record is from RNAcentral.